AAAAACAGACUUCAGAGAAUCAUUUCUAUAGUAUUCGUCCCACUCUGUGUUUCCUAAAAGAGCCACAGAGCCCACCCUGGUUGAUGAACGAAAUCCCCUUCGCCCUAGAGUGAAAACAACUCAAGCGGGUGUCACGUCCUUCGGGCCCUGAUUACCUUUUACUCUCGCCCUGUCCGCAAGGAUGGCGGUCGGCGCCUCGUGCGCAGGCUGUAUAGAGAGUGGUGAUGAUCUCAACCCCGUCGUCGUGGUCUUGCCUUCGGGCGCGCGGCCGGGGUGGGCGAAGGUGGAAGUCUGACAGGC
Molecule: small nucleolar RNA, 300 nt
Filed under: Xylariales sp. No.14919
Lineage: Eukaryota; Fungi; Ascomycota; Sordariomycetes; Xylariales
Description: fungal sp. No.14919 Fungal small nucleolar RNA U3
Rfam family: Fungal small nucleolar RNA U3
About the family: Small nucleolar RNAs (snoRNAs) are involved in the processing and modification of rRNA in the nucleolus. There are two main classes of snoRNAs: the box C/D class, and the box H/ACA class.
Source: Rfam by way of RNAcentral